AAAUGAAUAGACGGGGGCCCGCACAAGCGGAGGAACAUGUGGUUUAAUUCGAUGAUACGCGAGGAACCUUACCCAGGCUUAAAUUGCAGAUGAAUAUAGUGGAAACAUUAUAGCCUUCGGGCAUCUGUGAAGGUGCUGCAUGGUUGUCGUCAGCUCGUGCCGUGAGGUGUCGGCUUAAGUGCCAUAACGAGCGCAACCCUUAUUGAUAGUUACUAACAGGUUAAGCUGAGGACUCUAUCGAGACUGCCGUCGUAAGAUGCGAGGAAGGUGGGGAUGACGUCAAAUCAGCACGGCCCUUACGUCUGGGGCUACACACGUGUUACAAUGGGGGGUACAGAAGGUCGCUACCUGGCAACAGGAUGCUAAUCCCAAAAGCCUCUCUCAGUUCGGAUUGGAGUCUGCAACCCGACUCCAUGAAGCUGGAUUCGCUAGUAAUCGCGCAUCAGCCACGGCGCGGUGAAUACGUUCCCGGGCCUUGUACACACCGCCCGU
This 492-nucleotide ribosomal RNA is filed under the name uncultured bacterium. RNAcentral's name for it is "bacterial SSU rRNA". It matches the Rfam family "Bacterial small subunit ribosomal RNA", at positions 903 to 1397 of the family's 1533-position model. The record is from RNAcentral.